GCCACCCCCCAUUUCACUUCACCUCACUUAUUGUCUCUGUACUCAGAGACUGAAAAACCCUGGCACCGCCCUAAAAAUCCUCAUUAUCUUUGGUGAUGGCACAACUCCAAACCAAGCCAAAUUCGUACCACGCAACCCCCAGGCCUUCCCAAGUCCUAUCCCCACAUCUAUUUCCCUAAAAAUCCCAAAGAAAACCCCUAAUUCCAAAUCUAGGAAGUUCAAACUCUAGAUUAUUCUGUUUUUCUAAAUUCGCACAGAGUUCUGGCUCGCUUUGACCUAUAACUUAUGUUAGUUGAUUGCUCUAAAAUGAGCAAUCGAUUGGCGUUGGUUUUAGUUAAUUCCGAGGAUGCCAAAUUUUUGCGAACUCGUCGGAUUCCGGCCAAAUGUCUACUCCCGUCAUAGUUUGUCGAUUCGUUUUGUUUUAUCAAGACAUUCUAGAGUGAAUUGGUAAUUUCUACUCUUUUUUCCACGACUUUGCUAUUUGUAGUGUUUCUGUUCUUUUUUACUUGCUUCAUGUCUUGUUUUUUUAAUAAUGUGAGUUCAUCUUGGUUUGGUAAUUAAAAUUAGGUUGGAACGUAAAGUUUUGAAUUAUUGUUUAUUUUUAUUUUUCUGAAAUUCAUCUUCUUUGUUCGAUAAUUUGCGAUGGUUUGGGUUCUUGAAUUAACUAUGAUCAUCACUGACCCGAUUAAGAGACCCAUUCAUUUAGGGUCUUGGGUUAACUUGACCCAGGGUCGCAUUCUGAAUGUAAAAAUAAGGAUGUCAGGGGUUUUGUUGGCAGUUUGGGGUUUGAGGCAAUCAUUAUCUGUUAGGAGAAAGUUUCUAGAGGGUAAGAUGAGAGCUGGUUUGUUAAGAAUAGGGAUUUCAGAUAUUUCAAAAGGGAAAAAAAGGGUAAAACAACCAAAAAUUCAAGGGUUGAAAGAGGAAAUAAUUAGUUAGGCUAAGGCUACCUUAGGCUACUUAUUUAAGGACCAUGUCAUUCAUUCUCAAGGCAUCCAUUGAUACUCUGAAAAUACAAAAAAGUUCUGCAUUUUUUUGGUUCAAAAAUUGCUAGACAUUGUUCUUUGAUUUCAUUGUUAGCAAUAACUCAAAAAAUUUCGAAGGAUUGCUGGUUCAUUUGGGUUCAGAAAUGGUCUAAGGAAGACGAAAUUGAUAUAUUGAAGUGCCGACCUACUGCUGUUGCUGACUCUCUCCUUUUUUUAUUGAUUCCUAAACACAUUUCCUUUUAGUGUUGAUUGUUGUAUUCAGGUACUACUCUGAAACUUUAAGCAGCAAGUUUGAAUAUUGAAAAUGUGAACAAUUUGGAUUGAUAUGACUGUAUUAUUUCAAUAAAGUAGCUCUUAUGUUUUUAGUUCAUGUAAAUCUUUCUUUGUUUAGAUAGUACUAUGUGAGAUUUGAUUCAGUUGGUGUUUGGUUCUAAAUUAGAUAAAAACUUGUAUAUGAAUCAUGUCAUUAAGGUCUAUUCUCCCUCUUCAUCUCUUUUUUGAUUUUGUUUAAUGUCUAAGGCAUAGACCUCCAUUGAGUUACAAUAUAGAGGGAAUUACUGAAUGUCUAUUUACAUCAUUUCUUUAAGUUUAUCUUUGUUGAAUCUGUGGAAGUUCUAUUAUGGGUUUGAAUUAGCCAAGAUGAGUUUAAUUUGCUUAAUAAUUUUGUCCUUGUUUAACAUAUGAGGUCAUGAGGGUCUUAAAUCAGUUCAUAAUUGAAGUUUAAUUUUUUUUGAAAGCCAAGUUGUAAUUUAGUUAGUACAUGAUACUUGAUUAAGUCAUUUUUGUUGGUCUAAAGAUAAUUCAGCGUGAUUUGGGUUCUAAUGUUUCUUCAGAUUGCAAUGCAUUAAAAUUGCUAAGCUAAUCUUGUGUUCAAGUACCGAUUUCUGUGUUUAAUGUUAAUGUGUGCAUAUAAGGGGAAUUGGACCAAAUUCGUGGAUGGCCCAAAUAAGACCAUGAGUAUAAGCCAGAAUUAUUGGGUUUGAACUCAGGAAUUCGAGUCCAGUAACUCACGUAAAAUUAAUUGGCCCCUGGUAAGCAAAUGUAUUAGGCUUAUCAGAAAGCUAGAUGUCGAAAUGAUUGGGCUCAUUGUUUGCCCAAAUUCUUUCCAGUGAUUAAAGAACCUGGUGGUUUGGAUUUUGGGAUUUUUACAUAUGUAUACCAUAUAACAAACUUUAUUACCAAAAAUGCUUAUUAUUUGAUAUUUAUCCGCCUAAACCAUAGUUUGUCUACAAAAAUUGUACCAAACCAAAAAUAGGUGAAUUCUACCCUAAAAAAGCGCCCAUUUUGUAUCAAUCGUAUUUAAUGGUGAUUCUAUCAGCAUUAAUUUCGAGUUUUAAAACGGACGAAAAUCCUACAGCAGCGUGAUUCUCUCAUUCUGUACCGGAAAUAUAUCUUUCAUCUGAUUCUCAGCUACAAUUCAAAAAAGCACGAGAAUCUCCCGCAAUCAAAUUGUAGAAAUGCAAAAUUGUUGAAUACAGUUCUUCGUCGACAUCAGUACAAAAANNNNNNNNNNNNNNNNNNNNNNNNNNNNNNNNNNNNNNNNNNNNNNNNNNNNNNNNNNNNNNNNNNNNNNNNNNNNNNNNNNNNNNNNNNNNNNNNNNNNNNNNNNNNNNNNNNNNNNNNNNNNNNNNNNNNNNNNNNNNNNCUCUUCGUCUGUUUUUCUAUCAACUACACGAAAUUAUGUCAAAAAUCCCAAUAAUGCUAAAAUCAAAUGGUUAUUGGGAUAACUAUGGCAGAUUCUGAGAUUUUGAAGUUGAUGCCAUUUUGGUAGAUGAUAAUGCAAGCUACGGAAUUCUGCUUUCUACAAUUGCAAAACAAUUAUCGAUUGAUAUAUCGGAUAAAAUUGUAGAAAUAAAAUACAUUGUGAAUGACAAUUGUCCUCCAUUAGAGAUUAGGAAUGAUAUGGGGGUUCGUGUAUAUAUGGAAACGACAAAGGAGAAUAAAAACUUAGGUUCGUAUCCCUUAUAUAUUAGUGUAAGAGAUUUCAAUAUGGAAUUGACAAUCACCAAUGAAAGCAUCAGUACAUGUAUGUUUGAUUCGACAUUGCUGAGAGUUUUUUUGUUACCUAGUUAUCUACAAUUUAACGACAUUUCUCUAUAAUUAAACUACAAUUAUGAUAUAGGACUGGAAAGGACAAAGCGAUGUUGCUUUCAAAUUUAUUUACAUAGUUACUACAUUUGUGAAUUUAUUGUCUCCAAGUUCUUCAGGAUCCCUAAGGUUAGUAGAAAUUCCAUCCUCACCAGCUAUAGAGGAAUAUCAAAGUGAAAUAAUAAUUGAAUCUACGCNNNN
Molecule: long non-coding RNA, 3272 nt
Filed under: Nicotiana benthamiana
Lineage: Eukaryota; Viridiplantae; Streptophyta; Magnoliopsida; Solanales; Solanaceae
Description: long non-coding RNA (NBEN_LNC011119)
Source: RNAcentral